Molecule: ribosomal RNA, 253 nt
Filed under: uncultured bacterium
Lineage: Bacteria
Description: partial 16S ribosomal RNA
Rfam family: Bacterial small subunit ribosomal RNA
Source: RNAcentral
UACGGGGGGGGCAAGCGUUGUUCGGAAUUACUGGGCGUAAAGGGCUCGUAGGCGGCCAACUAAGUCGGGCGUGAAAUCCCUCGGCUUAACCGGGGAACUGCGUCCGAUACUGGAUGGCUUGAGUUCGGGAGAGGGAUGCGGAAUUCCAGGUGUAGCGGUGAAAUGCGUAGAUAUCUGGAGGAACACCGGUGGCGAAGGCGGCAUCCUGGACCGACACUGACGCUGAGGAGCGAAAGCCAGGGGAGCAAACGGG